AGUUGGGAAGCGUCGCCGGCAUCAGUCGCCCCCGCCGACGGCGCUUUCCGGGGGGCGGGCCCCUUGCUCGCUCCCUAUGUUGCCUUUCGAUGGAAUAUGCCCCCCUCCGUCGGAAGGUCUCAGGGCGGUGAGGUCCCCCAGCUUCACCGCCCACUUUU
This is a non-coding RNA of Bradyrhizobium elkanii, 158 nucleotides long. Lineage: Bacteria; Pseudomonadati; Pseudomonadota; Alphaproteobacteria; Hyphomicrobiales; Nitrobacteraceae. The record is from Rfam.